RNAcentral lists this ribosomal RNA (377 nucleotides) under uncultured bacterium. RNAcentral describes it as "bacterial SSU rRNA". It matches the Rfam family "Bacterial small subunit ribosomal RNA", at positions 523 to 898 of the family's 1533-position model. The record is from RNAcentral.
AUACGUAGGUGGCAAGCGUUGUCCGGAAUUACUGGGUGUAAAGGGCGUGUAGACGGGAUUGCAAGUCAGAUGUGAAAUCCCCGGGCUUAACCCGGGAACUGCAUUUGAAACUGGCGGGCUUGAGGGCAGGAGAGGAAAGCGGAACUCCCAGUGUAGCGGUGAAAUGCGUAGAUAUUGGGAGGAACACCAGUGGCGAAGGCGGCUUUCUGGACUGUCACUGACGCUGAGGCGCGAAAGCCAGGGGAGCGAACGGGAUUAGAUACCCCGGUAGUCCUGGCUGUAAACGAUGGGUACUAGGUGUUGGGGGUAUCGACCCCUCCAGUGCCGCAGUUAACGCAAUAAGUACCCCGCCUGGGGAGUACGGCCGCAAGGUUGAA